GAGUUUGAUCUUGGCUCAGAUUGAACGCUGGCGGCAGGCCUAACACAUGCAAGUCGGGCGGUAGAGAGAAGCUUGCUUCUCUUGAGAGCGGCGGACGGGUGAGUAAUGCCUAGGAAUCUGCCUGGUAGUGGGGGAUAACGCUCGGAAACGGACGCUAAUACCGCAUACGUCCUACGGGAGAAAGCAGGGGACCUUCGGGCCUUGCGCUAUCAGAUGAGCCUAGGUCGGAUUAGCUAGUUGGUGAGGUAAUGCUCACCAAGGCGACGAUCCGUAACUGGUCUGAGAGGAUGAUCAGUCACACUGGAACUGAGACACGGUCCAGACUCCUACGGGAGCAGCAGUGGGGAAUAUUGGACAAUGGGCGAAAGCCUGAUCCAGCCAUGCCGCGUGUGUGAAGAAGGUCUUCGGAUUGUAAAGCACUUUAAGUUGGGAGGAAGGGCAGUAAAUUAAUACUUUGCUGUUUUGACGUUACCGACAGAAUAAGCACCGGCUAACUCUGUGCCAGCAG
RNAcentral lists this ribosomal RNA (508 nucleotides) under uncultured bacterium. Its description in RNAcentral is "bacterial SSU rRNA". It matches the Rfam family "Bacterial small subunit ribosomal RNA", at positions 9 to 514 of the family's 1533-position model. The record is from RNAcentral.